UACAGGGGGGGCAAGCGUUGUUCGGAAUUACUGGGCGUAAAGGGCUCGUAGGUGGCCAACUAAGUCAGACGUGAAAUCCCUCAGCUUAACUGGGGAACUGCGUCUGAUACUGGAUGGCUUGAGUUUGGGAGAGGGAUGCGGAAUUCCAGGUGUAGCGGUGAAAUGCGUAGAUAUCAGGAGGAACACCUGUGGUGUAGACAGCUUACUGGACCAUUUCUGACGCUGAGACACGAAAGCGUGGGUAGCAAACAGG
This 253-nucleotide ribosomal RNA is filed under the name uncultured bacterium. RNAcentral describes it as "partial 16S ribosomal RNA". It matches the Rfam family "Bacterial small subunit ribosomal RNA", at positions 524 to 776 of the family's 1533-position model. The record is from RNAcentral.